CCCUUAGAUGUCCGGGGCCGCACGCGCGCUACACUGAAGGAAUCAGCGUGGCUUUCUCCCUGACCCGAAAGGGUUGGGAAACCCGUUGAAUCUCCUUCGUGAUAGGGAUUGGGGCUUGAAAUUGUUCCCCAUGAACGAGGAAUUCCCAGUAAGCGCGAGUCAUAAGCUCGCGUUGAUUACGUCCCUGCCCUUUGUACACACCGCCCGUCGCUACUACCGAUUGAACGGUUUAGUGAGGGCCUCGGAUUGGUCUCGGCCCGCUCUUUACCGGGCGGCGCCGUUGGUCGAGAAGACGCUCGAACUUGAUCGUUUAGAGGAAGCAAAAGUCGUAACA
RNAcentral lists this ribosomal RNA (334 nucleotides) under uncultured eukaryote. Its description in RNAcentral is "partial 18S ribosomal RNA". It matches the Rfam family "Eukaryotic small subunit ribosomal RNA", at positions 1470 to 1796 of the family's 1831-position model. The record is from RNAcentral.